RNAcentral lists this ribosomal RNA (449 nucleotides) under uncultured bacterium. Its description in RNAcentral is "partial 16S ribosomal RNA". It matches the Rfam family "Bacterial small subunit ribosomal RNA", at positions 29 to 523 of the family's 1533-position model. The record is from RNAcentral.
AACGAACGCUGGCGGCAUGCCUAAUACAUGCAAGUCGAACGAACACUUCGGUGUUAGUGGCGCACGGGUGCGUAACGCGUGGGAAUCUGCCCUUGGGGUCGGAAUAACUUCGGGAAACUGAAGCUAAUACCGGAUGAUGACGUAAGUCCAAAGAUUUAUCGCCCAGGGAUGAGCCCGCGUAGGAUUAGGUAGUUGGUGAGGUAAAGGCUCACCAAGCCUACGCUCCUUAGCUGGUCUGAGAGGAUGAUCAGCCACACUGGGACUGGGACACGGCCCAGACUCCUACGGGAGGCAGCAGUAGGGAAUAUUGGACAAUGGGGGCAACCCUGAUCCAGCAAUGCCGCGUGAGCGAUGAAGGCCUUAGGGUUGUAAAGCUCUUUUACCCGAGAUGAUAAUGACAGUAUCGGGAGAAUAAGCCCCGGCUAACUCCGUGCCAGCCGCCGCUGUAA